CCUACGGGUGGCUGCAGUAGGGAAUUUUGCGCAAUGGGCGAAAGCCUGACGCAGCAACGCCGCGUGGAGGACGAAAUCUUUCGGGAUGUAAACUCCUGUCAGCAGGGAAGACUAAACGACUGUACCUGCAGAGGAAGCAUCGGCUAACUACGUGCCAGCAGCCGCGGUAAGACGUAGGAUGCAAGCGUUGUCCGGAAUUAUUGGGCGUAAAGCGUUCGUAGGCGGUUUUUUAAGUCUGAUGUUAAAUACGGGUGCUCAACACCCGCACGGCAUUG
This 275-nucleotide ribosomal RNA is filed under the name uncultured Vampirovibrio sp. Its description in RNAcentral is "partial 16S ribosomal RNA". It matches the Rfam family "Bacterial small subunit ribosomal RNA", at positions 338 to 628 of the family's 1533-position model. The record is from RNAcentral. Lineage: Bacteria; Bacillati; Candidatus Melainabacteria; Vampirovibriophyceae; Vampirovibrionales; Vampirovibrionaceae.